RNAcentral lists this ribosomal RNA (207 nucleotides) under Clostridioides difficile. RNAcentral describes it as "partial 23S ribosomal RNA". It matches the Rfam family "Bacterial large subunit ribosomal RNA", at positions 419 to 628 of the family's 2925-position model. The record is from RNAcentral. Lineage: Bacteria; Bacillati; Bacillota; Clostridia; Peptostreptococcales; Peptostreptococcaceae.
GGGACACGUGAAACCCUGUGGGAAGCAGGAGGGACCACCCUCCAAGGCUAAAUACUACCUAGUGACCGAUAGCGUAUAGUACCGUGAGGGAAAGGUGAAAAGAACCCCGGGAGGGGAGUGAAAUAGAACCUGAAACCCUGCACUUACAAGCUGUGGAAGCACAUUUCUUGUGUGACCGCGUACUUUUUGUAGAACGGGCCAACGAGU